RNAcentral lists this ribosomal RNA (253 nucleotides) under uncultured bacterium. RNAcentral describes it as "partial 16S ribosomal RNA". It matches the Rfam family "Bacterial small subunit ribosomal RNA", at positions 524 to 776 of the family's 1533-position model. The record is from RNAcentral.
UACAGAGGGGGCAAGCGUUAUUCGGAAUUAUUGGGCGGAAAGGGCGCGUAGGCGGCUUGGCAAGUGGAAGGUGAAAUCCCUCGGCUUAACCGAGGAACUGCCCUCCAAACUGCUUCGCUUGAGACCGGGAGAGGUGAGUGGAAUUCCCAGUGUAGCGGUGAAAUGCGUAGAUAUUGGGAGGAACACCAGUGGCGAAGGCGGCUCACUGGACCGGUACUGACGCUGAUGCGCGAAAGCGUGGGGAGCAAACGGG